UAGACGUGUAGUUUUAUGUGAUUGUGUUCGAAAUAUUAGUGAAAUGGCUCCUAUUGCUCUGACUCUGAUGAGUCAUCAGACGAGAGUGAAGAUGAAGAUGCAAUGAGCGGAGUAGAAGAGUUAUAAGAUUCAGUCAUUAUGAGGUCGAGAAUUGGACAGUUGGUCACAUUGUGUUUUAUGGACUUCCUUUUAAUAAAACAUUAAUUUUA
Ostrinia nubilalis (European corn borer) is the source of this 209-nucleotide long non-coding RNA. RefSeq lists it as uncharacterized. NCBI's taxonomy places the organism in Eukaryota, Metazoa, Arthropoda, Insecta, Lepidoptera, Crambidae. The transcript is spliced from 2 exons. The record is from RefSeq and is a predicted model, not a curated record.